GUAAUCUAUAAGUCCAUAUUUAUAUUUUCACGAAACCAAACGAUCUAAUUUAUAAUCAGCUUUUAGGUUUAAAAUUUUGGCGUAGUAUAGCCAAUUAGUAAUUAUAAGUUAGGGGUGACAGGCCUUACAAGUUAGGGGAUAUCUUGAUAUUAAGGAAAUAUAUAUAGUAUAUAAGUCAAUUUGGAAAUGGUAAGGUUUCCAAAAGGUAUAAAUUUUGUUUUAUAAAUAAAUGGUCUAUGUAAAAAUUACCAAGUUUAACCAUUAAAAUAUUAAGCACUUUAAUUUAUAUUUUGAACUUGAUAAAUUUGUAUUAUAUUUUUACAAAUAUAAUAAUGAUUUCAUUAGUAUUAUUAAUAGAUUUUAGUAAGGAAUUCGGCAAAUAUAUUCUCAACUGUUUAUCAAAAACAUAGCCUAAAGUAUUUAAAUUUUAGGUUAAACCUGCUCAAUGAGUUUUAAAUAGCCGCAGUAUAUUGACUGUGCAAAGGUAGCAUAAUCAAUUGGCUUAUAAUUGAAGUCUAGUAUGAAUGGGAGUUUGGGGAAAAGCUGUCUUAUAAAAAUAAUUUGAAAUUGCUCAAUAAGUGAAAAUUCUUAUAUUAAGAAAAAAGACGAGAAGACCCUAGAAAUUUUAUUAAAAUUUUAUAUUAUCAAUUUUGUUGGGGCGACAAGGUAACAUAAAACUUACCUAAAGUAAUAGAAACCUAUUGAGGGAAGUAUAUAAAUUACUCUAGGGAUAACAGCAUAAUAUUUAAAAGAUUGUGACCUCGAUGUUGGACUAGGAAAUUUAAUACCCAAAAGGAAUUAAAUUAGGCUCUGUUCGAGCUUUUAACUCCUACAUGAUCUGAGUUCAGACCGG
RNAcentral lists this ribosomal RNA (853 nucleotides) under Monacha ascania. RNAcentral's name for it is "partial 16S ribosomal RNA". The record is from RNAcentral. Lineage: Eukaryota; Metazoa; Mollusca; Gastropoda; Stylommatophora; Hygromiidae.